AGUGCAACAUAUAUACACACGUCAGUAGUACAAGUAAAUAUAUACAGGUAGUAGCAGCCUGAUAAUAUUCGAACUCUUUAGAUAGUGGCCCUCCAGAAGCAGGAUUGUGUGUAUGAUUUUGGCAUUACAUAGAGAGGAACAACUGUGUAGAGGGAGGGGACAUCUUUAUUCACUGAUCAGUAAAACAAUUUGCUCAAUGAAUGAGCAACGUCCUCUACAAUAAACAUCAGCAUCAUCAUCAUCCAAAGUCUACAAUACCAAUUUAGCAGCAACAUGUUAACACGGGGGAAACAGAGUGGUAACAAAGUAGUAUCAUUUAGAAAAAAGUCACAGUUUUUCUUUCUAUCUGUAUCAUUAAAAAGGAUUUGCAAGGAGGGUAUUUUAAAAAGAGGUUUAUUGACUGCUAUGGACGCUACGGUUAUUGUUUUGAGCUAUGGCAUGUGCUCUGUACAGAAUACAUGGGGAGAUUUUAACUAUACAUUUAAACCCUAAUAUAAAGCACAUCUGUGUCACCAUACAAAUUUUUAGGAGAUUCAACAAAAAUAUACAAUGUUUUCACUUCACAUUUGAAGAUUUAUAACACCACUAAGUUUUUUUUUUCUCGUUUUUCUCUUCUUUUUUUUAAUGGUAAAUACAACAGUCUCAUUGGUCAAACCAACCGAAUGAAGGAGACACAACGUUAGUUAUUCUACUCAGUAAGCUAUGAGUGAUUUAAAUUGGUAAAAGGAUGAAUAUAAAUUAAUAUAUAUUAAGAAAUUCCAACUGUAACUCCAGGGAAAUGAAGGGCUAUACCGAGUAUAAGUAAUGUGACAGUAUUUUUGAUACAAUAAAUACACAUGGUUUAUAAUGUGGAUCGUGUGUGUGUGUGCGUGUGUGUGCAUGCUGGAAGAGCUCCUGUGUCCAAUUAUUGGGAUGUGUGUGUGUGUGUGUGUGUGUGUGUAACGAAUAGGAGCAGCUAUGAUAGUGUGUGUUUAUGUGGAACACUGUAAAGAAGUAGGAGAAGAGACGAAACCCCUUGUAGUCUCCAUAGUGAUACUUUCUCACCUUCACAAAGUCCAGGUGAAAUGAGUUGAGGCAGUCUAGAAAACCCACAUAAAAGAAUGGCACAAAAAAGUGAAAUGCGUCAACAGGAUGUGUUUGCUUUCCAUUCUGGUCUGAGGUGAGUUUGCCAAAAAAAAAAAA
Molecule: long non-coding RNA, 1182 nt
Organism: Sinocyclocheilus anshuiensis
Lineage: Eukaryota; Metazoa; Chordata; Actinopteri; Cypriniformes; Cyprinidae
Exons: 2
Source: RefSeq, a predicted model, not a curated record